UGUGCUUGAUCGAACCUGGAAUCUCUAAACCCUCGGGUAUUGAUGGGCACCACUUAGGCCAGGGGGUCCAAACCUUAAACUUGCAGUUUCAGUUUUCCUUAUCAAACGAAGCGUCCCUCAUUUCACAAACAUCACUGACUUUUAGUUCUCCGCUGGCCCAGGAUGAGGAGCCUGGUACCUCACGGUCAGGACCCGACUGUCAGCCCUGCUGGUGCCCCCAGCUCGGCCGAGGGACCAGUGCGCAUGUCUGGGCUGGGGAGCGCCGGACCCCGGGGGUCUGCGAGCGAAACCCGCCCGUUCCCUCAGCGCCUCCCACGGGGACCCCUCAGUGACGUGCUCCCGGCCACAGAGGCCGGCACCCUCCUGCUCAGGCCAGAAACCCACGAAGCGCAGUCAGGUUUGGGGUCCGCCUGCAGCCGCGAGGCCCCGGCGGGCGCUGAAACGAAAGGCAGACGAGGGAAGCAGCGCCAGGGGACCGAGGCGCCGCGGGCCGCGUAGCCGGGCGAGGGCACGCUGCGCCGCCGCGACGAGCGCCUUGGGCUGGCUUAUCUCGGGGACGCGGCUCCAGCCGGAGCGCCGCCGGCACCGCCGUGCGCAGACCCGAGGCCUGGGCCCCCGCUUCUGGCUGCCGGCCCGCGCUCCGCGUUCUCCGCGCACUCGGGCCCGCCUCUAGGCCGUUUUCGCUUUCGCUUUCUUGCCGAGAGCGUUGAGGAAAAUGAAAGUGGCAGUGUCCAGAGCCUGCGCGGCAGCCGUCGGGCGAGGGGCGCACCGUGCGGGGCGGCCAGCCUGGAGCGGGCGAGCCGGAGCCUCAGCCCGCACCCGGCGAGAUGGCGGUAGGCCCUGGACUUCCCUGCACUGCAGGCAGUGAUGAGGCUGGGCAGCAGAGAAAGGAGAAAAUGGACUCCCUCCUCCUGUAGACAAGAAUGCCAGCUACCAGCCAUGGCUGCCAGUUUGCAGCCUGCUGAAGGAAAACAACAUCAAGGUAAAAGAACAAUAAGACUUUGUGUCGGUUUAAAACUUCUCAACUUGAAAGGCCUUGAAAUGUGUUCAAUGAAGACCCAGAGGGCUGAAAGUGUUGGCAGUCAAAUAAAAUGAAGGUGCGGGAACUCGUGUUGACUUCUUGGUUAGAGUGAGAGCUGGGGACAGUGAGAAACAGCUAAGUAUUGAGGAAUGGGUCAGCAGAGGUGACUCUCCAGUCUUCAGACCCAGGAAGACAAUGCUUCCCUUGGGAAAACCUGGCACCCUCCCCCACGCCAGCCAGUCACGGGCCCACCGCCUGGUCCUCCUCCCCUGAUUUCCUCCCUCCAGGCCUCUCCUCUUCUUUGCUCUCUCCGGAGGUUCCACCCUGCCUGCUGAAGUCAGAGCAGGCCUUGGCAGAGUGUUUGGGCUUUUUGGUUUUUUUUAAAGCAAGAAUGGUUUGGUUCUAAAUCUAGAGGACUAUAUAGGAUGCUUCCAGCAUAGAGGGGUCUCUGUUUCUGUGUUAAAUCACAGUCCAAAUUUUUAAAAGUGAAAAUAUUCAGUAAAUAAUGAAUGUGGGGGGAAUGUGCAACGAUGUGUACUGCUGAUGUGAUUGGAAAAGGGGCCGCUUUUAAAAAUGUAUCUAGCUUUUGUCCAAGCAGUUCUACCAUCUGGAAUUUAUCCUCUGGAAAUAAACACAUUUUUGUAAAGGUGGAUGAAUAAAGAUAUUUAUAACUGCAUUGUUUAUAAUAGAAAAAAAAGGAAACAUUGGAAAGCCCAACAAAAAGGAGUUGGUUGUUUAAAAUCUGGCAUAUCUACACAAAGACCUGUCUUGCAUGCAACAGCAUGACCUAGGGGUGUAUAUAUAUUAAUGAGAACAAUGUUUGCGUAUACUGCUAGGUUUAAAAAAAAAAGUGUAUGGUCAGGCCACUCAGAAGAGCGCUUCUCUUUUUUGUUUUGUUUUGUCUUUUAACUAUAAUUUUAUUUAUUUAUUUUUGGCUUUGCUGGCUCUUCACUGCUGCUCAGGCUUUUCUCUGGUUGCAGAGAGUGGGGUCUCUUCUCCCAUUUGUGAUGCGAGGGCUUCUCAUUGCGGUGACUUCUCUUGUGGAACACGAGUCCUAGGGCACACAGGCUUCAGUAGCUGCGGCACGUGGGCUCAGUAGUCGCGGCUCCCCGGCUCUAGAGCACAGGCUCAGUAGUUGGCACGCAGGCUUAGUAGCUCAUCAGCAUGUGGGAUCUUCCUGGAUCAGACCUUGAUCCCACGUCUCCUGCGUUGGCAGGUGGAUUUUUCACCACUGAGCCACCAGGGAAGCCCAGAAUGGUUGGAUCAGUGCCUACUUCACCUACACCCUAUUCACAUGACUGACCUUCCUAUAUAUGCUUGCCACAGGCCCCAACUAGAGAUUGUUCUUGUCCAAGAGGCAGUGAAGGGCGUGCCCCUCUGCUAGUUUCCCUGGUAACCGAUGAGCCAACCUGCCCUCUA
Capra hircus (goat) is the source of this 2440-nucleotide long non-coding RNA. RefSeq lists it as uncharacterized. The record is from RefSeq and is a predicted model, not a curated record. The transcript has 3 exons. Lineage: Eukaryota; Metazoa; Chordata; Mammalia; Artiodactyla; Bovidae.